Molecule: small nucleolar RNA, 142 nt
Organism: Pseudophryne corroboree (corroboree frog)
Lineage: Eukaryota; Metazoa; Chordata; Amphibia; Anura; Myobatrachidae
Source: RefSeq, a predicted model, not a curated record
UAAGGCCCUGAUCGAAGCCGGGUUAGAGGAUUAUCAGUAGCUAGCUCGGUCAAACAGAGGCCGACAUAGAGGCUUUUCCUUGACGGUCGCUGCUCCGGCUGCUCUGUGCUGGUGCCCAGCAACAUUGUAGGGAAAUACAGCA